RNAcentral lists this ribosomal RNA (424 nucleotides) under uncultured bacterium. Its description in RNAcentral is "bacterial SSU rRNA". It matches the Rfam family "Bacterial small subunit ribosomal RNA", at positions 355 to 776 of the family's 1533-position model. The record is from RNAcentral.
UGAGGAAUAUUGGUCAAUGGGCGGGAGCCUGAACCAGCCAAGUCGCGUGAGGGAAGACGGUCCUAUGGAUUGUAAACCUCUUUUGCCGGGGAGCAAGAGGAGCCACGAGUGGCUUAGCGAGAGUACCCGGAGAAAAAGCAUCGGCUAACUCCGUGCCAGCAGCCGCGGUAAUACGGAGGAUGCGAGCGUUAUCCGGAUUUAUUGGGUUUAAAGGGUGCGCAGGCGGAAGCGGUAAGUCAGCGGUAAAAUUGCGGGGCUCAACCUCGCCGAGCCGUUGAAACUGUCCUUCUUGAGUGGGCGAGAAGUGUGCGGAAUGCGUGGUGUAGCGGUGAAAUGCAUAGAUAUCACGCAGAACUCCGAUUGCGAAGGCAGCACACCGGCGCCCGACUGACGCUCAUGCACGAAAGCGUGGGUAUCGAACAGG